Xiphophorus hellerii (green swordtail) is the source of this 206-nucleotide long non-coding RNA. RefSeq lists it as uncharacterized. NCBI's taxonomy places the organism in Eukaryota, Metazoa, Chordata, Actinopteri, Cyprinodontiformes, Poeciliidae. The record is from RefSeq and is a predicted model, not a curated record. The transcript is spliced from 2 exons.
ACAGCUGCUGCAUGUUGGACCUGAAGCUGAGCAUCAUGGGAAGAAAAACAAGUCAACACUUUUACUGUGAAAAUGCUGCAACAAGAACAGACUGAAGGUGCUUGUCUAGGGAGGCGGAGCGCACUAAUUGGCCGCCGAUACAGGUGUCAGCAGAGGCCGAUUAAAGCCAAAAUAAAAGGAGCCUGGAUGGAAGGAGGGGAGAGGAA